Molecule: ribosomal RNA, 504 nt
Filed under: uncultured bacterium
Lineage: Bacteria
Description: bacterial SSU rRNA
Rfam family: Bacterial small subunit ribosomal RNA
Source: RNAcentral
GACGACGCUGGCGGCGUGCUUAACACAUGCAAGUCGAACGGAGAUUAUUAAUGAAGCUUGCGAUUUAAUAAUCUUAGUGGCGGACGGGUGAGUAACGCGUGGGCAACCUACCCAUAAGCGGGGGAUAACAGUUGGAAACGACUGCUAAUACCGCAUAAGCUAUUGAGGUCGCAUGACCUAAAUAGUAAAGGUGGCGAAAGCUAUCACCUAUGGAUGGGCCCGCGUCUGAUUAGCUAGUUGGUGGGAUAGCAGCCUACCAAGGCAACGAUCAGUAGCCGGCCUGAGAGGGUGGACGGCCACACUGGGACUGAGACACGGCCCAGACUCCUACGGGAGGCAGCAGUGGGGAAUAUUGCGCAAUGGGGGAAACCCUGACGCAGCGACGCCGCGUGAGCGAAGAAGGCCUUAGGGUCGUAAAGCUCUGUUGUAAGGGACGAAUGUUUAUCUGGCGAACAGUCAGAUAAAGUGACGGUACCUUACCAGCAAGCCCCGGCUAACUACGUG